GGGGCUAUAGCUCAGCUGGGAGAGCGCUUGACUGGCAGUCAAGAGGUCCGCGGUUCGAUCCCGCGUAGCUCCA
Molecule: transfer RNA, 73 nt
Filed under: Deltaproteobacteria bacterium CG_4_9_14_3_um_filter_63_12
Lineage: Bacteria; Deltaproteobacteria
Description: tRNA-Ala
Rfam family: tRNA
About the family: Transfer RNA (tRNA) molecules are approximately 80 nucleotides in length. Their secondary structure includes four short double-helical elements and three loops (D, anti-codon, and T loops).
Source: RNAcentral